This 4728-nucleotide long non-coding RNA is filed under the name Malus domestica (apple). RNAcentral describes it as "long non-coding RNA (MDOM_LNC009276)". The record is from RNAcentral. Lineage: Eukaryota; Viridiplantae; Streptophyta; Magnoliopsida; Rosales; Rosaceae.
AAUAGCAUUUGUGGCAGAGUAAUUUUUACAAUGGCAUAUAGCUCAAAUAAUCCAUGGGAUGAAUUAGUGGGUAGUUGGUUUACAAAUAAUAUCCUUACCAUCUAAUUAUGCUGCAAUUUCAUAUCACAUGACGUGGCAGGUGAGGUGAGGUGAGGUGAGGUGAGGUGGAUACUCACUAAUGUAGAAUGGCUAGGAGAGAUAUUCAUGGAGCAGCUUGACAAGCGUAAAUCAAAGAAAAUUCAGUCUUACAUGAACGUGUUUCUUCAUUUUAUUGAUCAAAGAUUGCUACCGGCCACAUCGACGACGAACCUGUACCUGACGUCGUUUUUCUCCAACCUCUCGAAAGCUGUGUUGAUGUAGUCCAUCUUAACCACUUCGAUCAUAGUUGUCAAUCCUCUCUCUUUGCAGAACUGAAGCACCUCCUCUGUUUCCUUCAUGCUCCCAACAAAGCUCCCUGUGAUCGUCUUCCUCCCUAUGCAUAAUUGCACAGCAGAGAAAAUAAAACAAUGGGUCAGUCACUAGUCUUAUAAACCUUAAGCAGUUAGGGAAUAAUAUAACAAUAUACAUACAUACAUAUAUAUAUAUAUAUAUAUGAGUUCUUCAUGUUUAUCGCUUAGAUUCUAAGUUUACCACUUCUGAGUUCUAAAAGACCAAAAAUCUCGACUUCAAACCUAAAUCUAAGCUCGUAAGAUAAUUCUACACCUUAAAAAUAAGCAGCUCCCCUGAGAAAGGGAUUAAAAAGAGACAAUUUUGCACACAUUUUAACAAGGUUCAUAAAUAAGAGUGUUGCAGCAAGUGAAAAAAAAAAAGGUGUGCAAAUAUCAUUUUCCGAUCGAAAAUUUGAUUAAACAGCUGCCGGUUGAAGGCGGUGACAGAAGAUCGGACUCACCAAGCAUGACCAUUGGGGAAAGAAAUUGUAAUGGGGUGUUAAUAGCACCCAUCAAGAUCAAUUUGCCGUCAAGUUUCAACAAAGAGAGGUACGGCUCGAGUGGGUGGCCGACGGGCACUGUGUCAAUGAUGUAAUCCAAGGAGUCAGCAGCCUCCUGCAUUUUUGUGGCAUCUGAGCUGAUCAAGUACUCGUCGGCCCCAAUAUGCUCCAAAGCCUCCUCUCUCUUCUUUUCUGAAGAGCUUAUCACAGUCACAUGGUGCCCCAUGGCCUUGGCUAUCUUCACUCCCAUGUGUCCUACACCUCCAAGUCCAAGUAUUCCUCCUUUUAACCCAUCCACAUUCAGGCCAAAGUGCCUCAGUGGGCUGUACACCGUCACCCCCGCGCAAAGCAGCGGCGCCGCCUGUUCUGGCACCAUGCCCUCCGGUACCUUCACCACAAACCUUAACAAAAAAAAUAUAAAUAAAUAAAUAAAUAAAAUUAGUCUGAAAUUAUUAAAGAAUGAAUUUGGAUUAAUAUUUUUUAAAGUAACUUUAAAAAAAAUGUAGACUAUCAUAAUUUAAUUUUAUGAAUAUUUUAACUUAAAAAUAUUUAGAUUCUGAUAAAUAGGUAUUUAUAUAAUUUUUGGGUGAAUUUGAUUUAUGGGCUCAUAAUGGUGGCCGACACACCCACGUGCGUGGGCCCCUGUGUUGUUAGUGCCUCACAGAUUCGUGGUGUUGGGCACGCCUGUGCUAUGCGUGUAUGUUUGUGUUGGUCGCGUCCAUGCGCAUAGUUGGGCCAACCUACUAACCCAGUGUUAAAUCCAGACGGAAUUUGCCCCAAAAUUGAGUUUUUGGUUAAAAAUAUUUAUAUUAUGAUAAAUAGGUAUUUAUAUAUUUUUUGGUGAAUUUGAUUUAUGGGCUCAUAAUGGUGGCCGACACACCCACGUGCAUGGGCCCCUGUGUUGUUAGUGCCUCACGCAUUGGUGGUGUUGGGCGCACCUGUGCUAUGCGUGUAUGUUUGUGCUGGGCGCGUCCAUGCGCACAGUUGGGCCAACCUACUAACCCAGUGUUAAAUCCAGACGGAAUUUGCCCCAAAAUUGAGUUUUCAGUUAAAACUUAUUUUUGCCCAAGGGUUGCAGCAAUUUAGGGUGAGUUUAAAACCUAAAAAUUGAUUUUUACUCCAAGAAUUAGAGUAGGUCUAAGGAUCAUCUCAUUUCUCCACUUAGUUAUAACAAAUUUUCACCGUAAAAUUUUCAAAAUCGGGAUUGUUCUAUCUUCUAAUCUUCAUUUGAAAAUCAUAUCUACAAAAAUAAUCAUUUGAAUCAGAUCAGUUAGUCAUCUAAAUGAAUGAAAUAAAUCAACGGUUCAUCAUGAAUAUGCUACUUUGUACCUACAUCGUUUGAUUUAUUUAAUAUAUUAAAUGACUAAACGAUAAAUUUCUACGGUGAAUAUACGUUAUUUGUAUGUGAGAGAAUAAGCACAUCCCAUAAAAUUAAGGGAGAUUGCAAAUAUUAUCCUAUUUUUAUUAGGCAUAUUAUGCUUUGGUCCUUACUUUUGGUCAACCACCAUAGCACCGGAAAAGCCGCCUUGGGUGGGUUUGCCAUCGGUGUAAACGUCAGCGUAUGUCCAGAUUUUCUUGUUGCAGUAUUGCUCAUUGUCUGUGUUGCAAGGGUUGCAGUUUCUGCAGCAACCAACAACGAGGCCAACUCCUACCACAUCUCCUACUCUGAACUUGGUCACAUCUGAUCCAGCCUCCACCACCUUACCAACCACUUCAUGCCUGUUCAUGGGCAACACACAUUAUAAUUAAUAAAAUCAUAAGCUGCACGUGUACGCAAGCUGAUUCUGACCAUUCUUCAUGCGUGAAUGUAGACCUCACAAAACAGGAACGGCCAGGAUCAGGUGUGAGCGUCUGGUUUUAGCACUUCUCUUGAUAGAAACAUAAAUAAAAGGAAGAAUGAUUUAUCAUACCCAGGAACCAGGGGAUAGUGUGACAUGCCAAGUUGAUUUUUUGCCUGGUGCGUAUCAGUGUGGCAAACUCCACAGAAUAGGACUUUGAUGUAAACAUCUUCUGGGCCUGUGUUUCUGCAUAUGGUUUUAAUAAAAAAGAUUCAGCUGCCACAUAAAAUAGAUCACUACUCCUCACUAUCUUUAUUUACCAAAUUUAGUAGAUAAGCGAACAUGUCGUACUACUUCAGUUCCAAAUACGAGAGAGAACUGAGAAAAUCGUUUAGUAAACAAAUUUAGCGAAUCUGUAUGUCAUACAGAAAGGGAGGGACAUAAGAUUUUAUUACCUAAUAGUGUAGGUAUAGGGUGAGAGAGUGCCAGAUGCGUCUCUUGCAGCCCAUCCUGUGGUUGUUCUCUCCGCUUCUAGGUUGCCCAUUUGAAUUUGUUUUGGAGAGAGAGAGAGAGAGAGAGAGAGAGAGGGGUUGGGUUGGUUGGUGAUCGUCUUUCAGAGAAGAGAGGCCAAGUUUUUGGGUAUUAGAAGAAGCGGAGUAAGGUAUUAAAUAGAGAAGGCCAAAGUUAGGUUAAGAAGUUGGACACCUAUGCUUUGUCUACUGAAAUUAAGAGAAGAAAAAAUUGGUUUCUUUGACAUCGGGACAUUUUUGAGGUCUAUACUUUUGACACGUGCAUUUCAUCCUCAUCGUUUUCAUCCAACGCAAGUAGAAAUAGUACCAUUUAGAUUUUAGUUCAAUUCUCCGAACAAAACCAAAUAUGAAAUUGUCUUUUGUUUUUGUCAAAAUAUGAAAUUGAAUAAAUGGUGAACUGUUAUAAAUAUGUAAGAGUUAGAGGGAUAAUCUUUUUAGUGAAUGAAAUGAAGCAGGUAUAAAAUGUCACACUGAAAAUAAUAACACAAGAGAAUAACAAAUAAAAGAUGGAGGAAGAGAUUUCUUUCUUUCUGUUUUCUGCUCUCUUUUGAUUGCAAUCGAGUGCUCUAUUUAUAGAGCAACUCGUAUUACUACAUUUGAAAUUUACAACACCCUUUUUGACAAUAUGAUAUCCUGCAUCCCCCAAAGUCAGUUUUCAAUUUGUAUGGACAUUGAAAACUUCUACCAAUGUUGGAAAACUUCUACCAAUGCACUGUGGGCAUUCAUUACCCACUGGUAUUUUCAACAUGAACCAUGUUAUUAAAUUAUACGUUCAAAUUUUGAUAACGUUAAAUGAAAAGUUGUAAGAUUCUUGAUUUGGUUGAUUUUUAACAAAGUUCAUCUUCAUAAGGUGAACUGUAAAAGAAGAUCAUAAUUUUGAUUAUGUGCAACAUUGCACAAUUAAAGGUGGAACUGAGAUGGCAGAACGAGAAGGUCCAACUAAGAAUGUUCGUAGCAUCACCCAUGAAUACGCCAACACCAACAAAAGUCAAAAAAAAAGAAGAAACGAGGAAAAAUAGUGACACUUGACACAAAUGAAAAGAUCGACUUCAAUAUUUUCCAGCCAUAUCAUAAAAUCCACGUUUUUGGAACGAUCAACUCACAGGCUAUUCUUGCUUUUAGGAGGGGCCUUUGGCACAUGUAUCAUGCUUCUCUGAUGCGAUCAUUUCUUUCACUAUCUUUUGGAAGCUUGCCCAAAUUGAGUGUUUCUUUUGGAUUCAACCAGUAUGGCAGUAGUACACCGUCGGUAACUUGUCUAAUAAUUGAGGUGUCGAGCGAGUAUGCUCAAAUUCAAAUGGAUUUUUCGGAGUAAUUUGACAAUGGGAUAGAGCUCAAAUAAUCCAUGUGAUGAAUUAGAGGGUAGUUGGUUUACAAAUAAUAUUUGUAUUCUUACCAUCUAAUAAUGCUGCAAUUUCAUAUCACAUGACGUGGCAGGUGAGGUGGACAAUCACUAAUGUAGAACAGCUAGCAGAGAUGUUCAUGGAGCAGCUUG